RNAcentral lists this long non-coding RNA (210 nucleotides) under Elaeis guineensis (African oil palm). RNAcentral describes it as "long non-coding RNA (EGUI_LNC026141)". Lineage: Eukaryota; Viridiplantae; Streptophyta; Magnoliopsida; Arecales; Arecaceae. The record is from RNAcentral.
ACGAGAUAAGUAUUUAUUAUUACAUCUAUUUAACUCAUCAUGAUCAUAGGAACAUCAUCAUUAUGAACAAGACGAUCUCAAAAAAUUUUUAUAUUCAAUCGUGACCAGCUCCACUCUCCGAAGUCUCAUCGGGAGCCUCUUCAUGGAGCUCCUCACCAGAAGGAUCAAGUUUUUGGAUCUUUAUGCUUCUGGAUCUACCUUGAGUGGUGG